Long non-coding RNA from Brassica rapa (field mustard), 2804 nucleotides. RefSeq lists it as uncharacterized. The record is from RefSeq and is a predicted model, not a curated record. NCBI's taxonomy places the organism in Eukaryota, Viridiplantae, Streptophyta, Magnoliopsida, Brassicales, Brassicaceae.
AAAAUAUUAUUUUUAAAUUACUAAAACGCUACUAAUGGAAUGGCUUCCACCUUCUUUGGGUCGGUACUAGGGGUGGGACGGUGAUAUAUGGUGUUUUUCACAUCAUUGUAUAGGUGUUUUUGUAUUGAUUCGAGUCCUUAAUCCGAGUCAGUCUAGUCCUUUUUGAUCUUUUACAGGUCUGGAGUUGGUAGAAGAAUGAAGAGAGCGUGCUUGAAGAGAAGCUGUCCUUUUGGAGCAUUUUGCGGAGAACACUCAAGACGAACAGUCCCGAGACUGUUCUCAAGCAGAACAAGCAGACGGAGUGAUCUCGAGGUUGUUCCCGACAAAUAAGGAAGCUUCUAUUUUUGGGAAUUAGACGGAUCGGAUAUCCGGGGUAUUUUAGGAUAUCCGGAUCCGGAUUCGUCGGAUCCGUAAAAUUGUCAUUCGGAUCCGGAUUCGGGCUUCCCGGAUAUCUGGGGUUCGGAUAUCCGGACAAAAACUCGAAUAUCCGCGGAUAUCCAGAUCCGUUUAAAAAUAAUUAAAAUAAAUUAAAAAAAUAAAAUAAAUAAAAUAAAUUAAAUUAAAAAUUAACAAAAUUAAGCAUUUAUUUAUCUAAUAAAAAUUAUUUUUUCGUAAAAAAAGUUAAAAUUUUAAUAAAAACUAAUUUUUUUGUUAUUUUUAAUAGAAAUAUAUAUAAUAUACCUAUAUAAAUAAAAUUAUAUUUUAAAUAUUUUUAAAAUAUUAGUGGGCCCGGAUCCGGAUAUCCGGACUAAAAAUUUCACUAUCCGGAUUCGCCGGAUCGGUAAAAUCAAUAUCCAGAUCCGGAUCGGACCCCCCGGAUAUCCGUUUUGUCGGAGCGGAUCGGAGCGGAUCUGGGAUCAGAUAGCGGAUAUUAAGUCUCAGCCCUAGUCGGUACUAACGCCUCAGCUGAUAUUAAGUGUACAAGAUACUCAUUGCGUUAUAUAAUAGUACUUAUUGGAUUAGCGUUUGAUUAUUAAACGACUUUGAAAGAUUAACUAAUUUAAAAGUUGUUUUGUAACUCAUUUAUCAUUUAAAUAUCAUACAAAACUAUAAGUAAUAGUAUCAAACUAAUGAAUUUAAUAAAAAUUGCAUUUUAUGACAAUUUCAUAAUAUUUAAAUAAACUAAUUUGAAAAAAUAGUAUUAAUUAUUUAUAUUAUUAAAACAUAGUUAAAAUUACCAUUAAAUUAGGUCUGAGAUGUUGAACCGAACAAAAACCGCCAAACCAAAAAUUUGGUGAGAUUCGGUUCAGUUUGUCAAAUUUAUUUUAAAAUUUGGUUUCGGGUCAGUUCAGUUCGGCAAUUGGUUAGUUUCGAAAAAAUAUAUUUGAAAUUACCCGAGUUUAACUAAUUUUUAACCGAAAUAUAAUUGAAAUUAAAACAAUUCGGUUAGUUUCGGUAAAAAUAAUUAAAAAACAAAUUAAAUUACUACUAGAUCUUGAUGUGCGGGUUUUAUUUUUUCUAUACUAAAAUAUUAUAUAACAAUAUUACAUAACAAUACUAUUUUACAUAAAUUUUUUUGUAUUUUUCAGAAAAGAAUUGUUUUGUAAACAUUAUUAUGUAACAAUACUAUUUUACAUAAUUUUAUGUUUUAUUUCUAAAAUUUGGAAUUUAUAUGGAAAUUAAAUUAAACUGAACCUAUAUAAUAGAGAUGAUGUGCGUGUUUUAUUCUUUCUAUACUAAAAUAUUCUAUAACAAUACUAUUUUACCUAUUUUUUGUAUUUUGCAACAAAAAAAAUGUUUUGUAAACAUUAUUAUGUAACAAUACUAUUUUACAUAAUUUAAUGUCUCAUUUUUAAAAUUUGGAAUUUAUAUGGAAACUAAGUUAAACUGAACCUAUAUAAUAGAGAUGAUUUUUUUUGAGAUACUAUUAAAAAGAACAAAACUUAUUAAAAACUAUAAUAUUUUGUACUUGCAAAGUAAUUUUGUAAUAAAGAUCCCAUUUGAAAAAAAAAACUCAAUUAAAGAUAUUCUAACAUAUGAGUUUAGGGUUUAACAAUUAUUGUUUACGAUUUAUUAUUUAGGUGGUGAAGUUGAGUUUAUAAUCUUCUGUAACUAAUUCUUAUAUAUCUAUAAAUGUUUUGUGAGGGUUAAUUUUGUCUUUCAAUAAUAAAUUUAAGAUAUUUAUGAAAAAUGAUAAUAGUUUAAAGGUAAAUUUGAAAAAUAGUAUCAAAUCUGAAGUAAAAUUAAAAUUUGUUGGAAUUAUGUUAUAUACACAUUAAACCAAUUUGAUCAAUAUGUAUUCUCUUCAUAUAGAAUAGUGUUGGAAUAUUAAUCUUUUUUGAUAUAUAUAAGUCAUUCAUGCUAUGAUAUUAGUAUGCAUAUAGAUGAUAAAAGUGUGUUCGUGUUUAAUGUAUUCGUCCAUGUAUAUAUUCAUUUUGUAUGUAUAUUGAUUGAAGAAUGCAAACCCAUUAGGACCAAGUAGUCUAUUAGGUGAAGUGGUUGUCCUUGCUCGGGUUUGAAUCCCUAUCAUAACAGUUUAGAGAUUGUUUUUUCCAAACACAAAACGACGUUGUUUUUAUCUAUUUUAGGUUAACUUUCAUAAGAUGAUAUUGAAAAAUCUAAUAGUUAAUAAUGAUAAAUACUCAUAUUAAAGAUGUUACUUGAUUAACAUAGGAAUGUAAAUUGUAUAUCAGAAACAUUUCAUUAUAAUAUUGUGUGUACUAGUGUUUUCUUCAAACUGAUAGAUUGACAUUGACUCUUAAGAAAAAAAUACUUAUCUAUUUUACAAAAAAAAAACUGUAGAAAUUUCAAAAUAUCUGAGUUUUAAAACUUCUUUAUCAGAAACAAAAAUAAUUAAUUAAAGA